Molecule: ribosomal RNA, 446 nt
Filed under: uncultured bacterium
Lineage: Bacteria
Description: partial 16S ribosomal RNA
Rfam family: Bacterial small subunit ribosomal RNA
Source: RNAcentral
CCUACGGGGGGCUGCAGUCGAGAAUCAUUCACAAUGGGGGAAACCCUGAUGGUGCGACGCCGCGUGGGGGAAUGAAGGUCUUCGGAUUGUAAACCCCUGUCAUGUGGGAGCAAAUUAAAAAGAUAGUACCACAAGAGGAAGAGACGGCUAACUCUGUGCCAGCAGCCGCGGUAAUACAGAGGUCUCACGCGUUGUUCGGAAUCACUGGGCGUAAGGCGUGCGUAGGCUGUUUCGUAGGUCGUGUGUGAAAGGCGCGGGCUCAACCCGCGGACGGCACAUGAUACUGCGAGACUAGAGUAAUGGAGGGGGAACCGGAAUUCGCGGUGUAGCAGUGAAAUGCGUAGAUAUCGAGAGGAACACUCGUGGCGAAGGCGGGUUCCUGGACAUUAACUGACGCUGAGGCACGAAGGCCAGGGGAGCGAAAGGGAUUAGAUACCCGAGUAGUC